AGAUGGCGACCGGCGCACGGGUGAGUAACACGUAUCCAACCUGCCGAUAACUCGGGGAUAGCCUUUCGAAAGAAAGAUUAAUACCCGAUGGUAUAAUUAGACCGCAUGGUCUUAUUAUUAAAGAAUUUCGGUUAUCGAUGGGGAUGCGUUCCAUUAGGCAGUUGGUGAGGUAACGGCUCACCAAACCUUCGAUGGAUAGGGGUUCUGAGAGGAAGGUCCCCCACAUUGGAACUGAGACACGGUCCAA
This 247-nucleotide ribosomal RNA is filed under the name uncultured bacterium. Its description in RNAcentral is "partial 16S ribosomal RNA". It matches the Rfam family "Bacterial small subunit ribosomal RNA", at positions 86 to 334 of the family's 1533-position model. The record is from RNAcentral.